Molecule: long non-coding RNA, 6707 nt
Filed under: Homo sapiens (human)
Lineage: Eukaryota; Metazoa; Chordata; Mammalia; Primates; Hominidae
Description: LHRI_LNC1405.1
Source: RNAcentral
AAAAAAAAAAAAAAACCCAAAAUGUUAGGCUCAAAUCUUUUGCUAGGCCUUAGAGUCUCCUCUUAGUGAUGAAGGGAUGUUUAAUGUUAAGGAGGCAACAGCUUUAUUCUUUUUUCACUUGGGUAGGAAACUGCCUCUUCAUACAGAACAAUAUUCAUAUGUUAAUUGAAAGCUAGUAUUAUUUUUGUACAUUCAUCCUCUUUCACUUAUUACGGAAAUUCUUGCUUUCUGGAAGUUUAGUAUCACCUUAGGUAAGUGGACUACCUCAAAAUUUCUGAAACAUUUGGCACCAACUAGAAACAUUAGUGAAGUCCAUGAGAUCAUUUGAGUCUUCUGUAGCUGCCCAGGAAACCGCCUGAUUAGGUUGUGUGUGUGUGUGUGUGUGUGUGUGUGUGUGUGUGUGUAUGUAUGUAUGUAGAACUUGAUGCUUUGAAAUGAACCAUCUGCAAAAUAGAGGCCCAUAAAGGGUAUUAGUUUUGAUGUGCACCUAAUUGCUACAAUUUUCUUGAAAAUAAAUAUUUGAAAGAGAAAUCCUCCAUAAUGGACCUUAAUUACAAGAGAAGUGAUUUUUCCUAUCUUGGGAUAUUUUUCUUUCUUUUUUUUUUUUUUUUUUUGAGACAGAGUUUCACUCUUGUUGCCCAGGCUGGAGUGCAAUGGCGUCAUCUUGGCUCACCCCAACCUCCGCCUCCCAGGUUCAAACCAUUCUCUUGCCUCAGCCUGCCGAGUAGCUGGGAUUACAGGCAUGAGCCACCACGCCCAGCUAAUUUUGUAUUUUUAGUAGAGACGGGGUUUCUCCAUGUUGGUCAGGCAGGUCUUGAACUCCUGACCUCAGGUGAUCCGCCCGCCUCGGCCUCCCAAAGUGCUGGGAUUACAGGCGCAAGCUACCGUGCCCGGCCGGAGGGGGUAUUUUUCAAUAAAGUUUUUCUCAGAGAAUUCAUGCAAGAAAAGUUGUUUAUUCUAACAAGUUUGGUGGUAACUACACAGAUUGGUUUUGGCACUGAUUUUUUAUUAACAGUUGAAUGCUUUAUAAGUAGAGAAAUUGGGUAUCUCCUUUAAGUGGAGAUUAUUUUAUGCUGUGACGAAAAUGUUACACCUGCAGUGAAAGUUUUUCUCAUACAGAAUCCAAAUAAUUGAAUUAAAGCUUUGUAGCACAUGAGAUGACAACAGUCUGCAAUUCUAACACUGUCAGGUACUUUUAUAUCUUAACAACACCAGGCCAAAUUUUUCUUAUUGAUGAUACAUAUACAUAGUGAAGUAGAUUUUUAAAAUUGUAUUUGAAUAUGUCAUUCUGAACCAUACUAUGACAAAAUAAUCACUUCCCACCCCACUGAAGAAAUGAGAAGCCUUUUUCUGGCUUGUCUAGAUCAUUUAAUAAGUUUGUAGAUGCACUCAAAGUUCAGAAAGAAAGCUAACAUAAAGGGGCAAUGAAAUUAACCAUGUCAAGUUUAAUAUGUGAAUUAAUUCUUUAUUACUAGCACUUAGAAGGCAUGGAUACCUACAAAGAAAAAAAAUUGUUAGGUCAAAAAUAGGACAUACUGUUUCUUAUAAGACCGGAGGAGUGUAGAAAGCCUCUCCUGCUUAUGCAAGAUCUGCAGGCUUCCUUCCUCUUUUCCUCCCAAAUUCCAUGAUCUUGCCUAAUGAAGAUUAACUUAACUACCUAAUUAACUUUCACAGGAUUUUUGUGGGGUAGAUAAUAGUUCUUGUUUUUAGUAGUCCAGAUGAAAAGAAUAAGCUGGGCCUCUGACAUUAGCUGUGCUGAUACACGUCUCUUCUACCACCAUCACCCCAGCAUCACUAAUACCUAAAUUGCCAAAAUUCAGUUAAAAUAGAAAUUCAUCUUUUUCAUAGUUUCUAGUAUGGCACUUGUAAACUCCCUAUAUUGCUUUUAACAAACUUGGUAAAUGUAAAUGCAGAAGUCAUCCACUUUUACCAACAGAACAACCAUCAUUGUUCUUGAUCUUUUAUAUUUUAUAUAUAUAAGGAAGGGAAUCAUAACUUUGGGGAUUGCUGUAAGUUGGCCACAUACCUGCCUAUAUAAACUAUACAUCUUUACCAAGAAUUGACUGUGUUCUUCCAGACCCGUGCCACGUAUAGUCAGACUUCCAGUCACAAGCUUCGACUGAAGCUCAAAGUGGAUUUGGGAGGGACUAAUUAUUGAAGUAGGUAUUAUAAGAAUUUAAAGGGAUGCAAAAUUUCAUCUCUGUCUCAAAGAAGCUUAGAGUUUAAUAGAAGAGGGAGGCUAAACUAAAUUGUUCAUAAAUAUAAGUAGAAUAAAGCAUGUAAUCAAAAUAAUACAGGAAAUAUCACAAAUGCUAUGAAAAUUUAAUUGAGGGCAAUUUAUUAUAGGGCAGUGUUUUGAGUAUAUCAUCUUAAUCUUUAAAACACUCCUGUGAUACAGUAUUGUCCUUAUACGGAUAAGAUUUAACUCUAAAAGGUUAACAUCGUUUUUAUUACCACCAGCUAUGAAAUAGAGCUGGGCUUCAAAUCAAGGUUUUCCUUGUUCAGCACUCACUCUUUCCACUACAUCACAGCUGCUUACUGAUUUGAGAGAGAAUUAGGCAAGAAGUCAAUACAAACUGGUGACCAGUAGCCAAACUUGGCUUGAUGUAGUUUUGUUGGGUCAGCAGGAGUUUAACUUUAUUUUUUUUGAGAUGGAGUCUCGCUCUGUCUCCCAGGCUGGAGUGCAGUGGCGCGAUCUCGGCUCACUGCAAGCUCCGCCUCCCGUGUUCGCGCCAUUCUCCUGCCUCCGCCUCCCGAGUAGCUGGGACUACAGGUGCCUGCCACCACGCCCGGCUAAUUUUUUUGUGUGUAUUUUUAGUAGAGAUGGGGUUUCACCGUGUUAGCCAGGAUGGUCUUGAUCUCCUGACCUCGUGAUCUGCCUGCCUCGGCCUCCCUAAGUGCUGGGAUUACAGGCUUGAGCCACCGUCCCCGGCCUUUUUUUUUUUCUAAUGUGAAUGUGUUUGAGCAGUGGCCAGUAUUCCACUCUUUAAGACCUUACACCAGGGCCCCUUGAGACAAAUGACCGAGUACAGAGCUGCAAGUCAUUCCUUCGCACAGUAGUCCUCAAGCUUUAAUGUGCAUCACAGUCUGGAAGGCUUGCUAAAACACAGAUUGCUGGGCUCCAUCUUAGAAUGAGUGUGUCUGAGGUGGAGCCUGAGAAUUACAUUUCUAGCAAGUUCUCUGGUUGCAGAUGCUGCCAGUCCUUGCGAGGAUCACACUUUGAGAAUCACUGCUUACCAAACUUGUAGGGCACUUUUGGGGAAGGCUUGUUGUGUUUCUGUUGUUUAUAAUACAAAAGGAAUUGCUUGUCAGAAUGUGCAGAAAUAGGUUAAAAAGAAAAUUAAAAUUAUCUAUCAGAGAUUAUAAUUGCUAACAUUUUUAAUGGACCAUUCAAGCUCCUUUUUUCUAUGUGUGUAUAGUAUGUACUUUUUUAAGAAACCAAAAUUAUAUAAUAAUAAUAAUAGCUAUUAACACCUUUUUAGCAUCUAUUGUGCACCAGGGUCUUUACAUGUAGUAUUUACUUAAUCCUUUUAAUAUCCUUAUGAAGCAGGUACCAUUACUAUCAUUCUUAUUUUUCAGAUGAAGAACUUGAGGCACAGAAAGGUUAAGUAACUUGUUCAGUGUCUCAUUGCUAGUAGGUAGCAUAAUCAGGAUUAAAACCAAAGCAAGGCCAGGCUAACACCUGUAAUCUCAGCUCUUUGGGAGGCCAGGACAGGUAGAUCACUUGAGGCCAGGAGUUCGAGACCAGCCUGGCCAACAUGGUGAAACCCUGUCUCUGUUAAAAAUACAAAAAUCAGCCGGGCAUGGUGCCUGCCUGUAGUCCCAGCUGCUUGGGAAGCUGAGACAGAAAAAUUGCUUGAAUGUGGUAGAUGGAGGUUGCAGUGAGCCAAGAUCACGCCACUGCCCUCCAGUCUGGGUGACAGAGUGAGACUCUGCCUCAAAACAAAAAACAAAAAGGAAAACAAAAAACCAAAGCAAUCUAGUGCCAGAACCACUCUGCUAUACUGACUCUUCUACUGUGCAUAUUGUUUUUCACCUGUAUUGUAUAAUCACAUCAUGAACAAUCUUGAUAUUAGACAUUUCUUGUUUAACAUUUAAUUUUUUAAUUUUAUGUAAUUUUUUGUUUAAGAGACAAGGUCUUGUUAUGUUGCCUAGGCUGGAGUUGAACUCUUGGGCUCAAGCUAUCCUCCUACCUCAGCCUCCUGAGUAGCUGGGACCUCCAGCACGUACCACCACACUCGGCCUCUUGUUUAACAUUUUAAGUGAAAGCCUGCUUUUUUCUCUUAAAAUAUUUGAAACGUUUAAAGAUAUACGCAAAAAUAAUGUAAAAAAAAACUCAUGCACCCACUACUAGAUUUAACAAAAGUUAAUUUUUCUGCAUAUUUGCUUCAUAAUCCCCCCCUCUUUAAAAAACACAUUAUAGGCCGUGCGUGGUGGCUCACGGCUGUAAUCCCAUUACUUUAGAAGGCCGAGGCAGGUGGAUCACAAGGUCAGGAGAUCGAGACCAUCCUGACUAACACAGUGAAACUCCGUCUCGACUAAAAAUACAAAAAAUUUGCCGGGUGUGGUGGCGGGCAAAAAAAUUAGCCGGGCGUGGUGGCGGGCGCCUGGAGUCCCAGCUACUCGGGAGGCUGAGGCAGGAGAAUAUCGUGAACCCGGGAGGCAGAGCUUGCAUUGAGCCGAGAUUGUGCCACUGCACUCCAGCCUGGGCGACAGAGCAAGACUCCAUCUCAAAAAAACACAUGUUGGCCAGGCUGGUCUUGAACUCCUGUCCUCAGGUGAUCCAUCCUCCUCGGGCUCCCAAAGUGCUGGGAUUACAGGUGUGAGCCACUGCACCUGGCCCAGUGAGGUGGAUUUUUAAAAGUAAAAGAAAAAAAUUGAGUUCCAGAGCUAGAAGUUCCAUCCUCAGUCUGUCUGAAGCAUGCCUCCUGCAAUCCUUUUUCUUUUUUAAGGACCAACAAAGUCAUCACUACAACAUAAAGGACCCUGUGUAAUCAGGCACCUGGCUUCUCUGACAUUAUUUCCGUGGCUUGUGUGCUUCAGCCACACUGGCCUCCUUGUGGGUCCUCAAACAUUCCAAGUACAUUCCUGUCUCAGGACCUUGGCACUUGCUCUUCUGCCUGGAAAACUCCCAGGUAGAAUUUAUAUAGUUGUCAGCUCAAAUCUCAGUUCCAGUGAGAUGGCUUUUCUAACCAGUGUCUCUAAAACAACACCUCUAUCCUUUUUCUCUCUUCCCCUAUCCCACUCAUUUUCUUUUCUUUUCUUUUUUUUUGGCUCUGUCACCCAGGCUGGAGUGCAGUGGCAUGAUUUUGGCUCACUGCAACCUCCCCCUCCUGGGUUCAAGCAACUUGCCUGUCUCAGCUUCCCAAGUAGCUAGGACUACAGGCGCCUGCCACCACACCCGGCUAAUUUUUGUAUUUUUAGUAGGACGGGAUUUCACCAUAUUGGUCAGGCUGGUCUCGAACUUCUGACCUCAGGUGAUCCACCCUCCUUGGCCUCCCAAAGUGCUGGGAUUAUAGGCGUGAGCCACUGCGCCUGGCCCCCACUCAUUUUCUUUAUACCACUAAUCAUCAGGAAUUAUAUGAUUACUUGUCUGUUGUCAUCCUUCCCCACUAGACUCUUUAGUAAGGCUUUUCAUAAGGGCAGGCAGUUUGUUGAUUGUUGGAUUCCCUGUGCCAGGCAUAUAUAGCCUGAAUAGAUAUUGUUGAAUGAAUUAAUGGCUAUCAUCUAUGGCAGUGUGUUUCAGCCUGAUAUUCAAGCAUAAGUUCCUGGAGAAUCCACCAUUUGGUUGCAGUUUAAAAAUGUUUAUGUUGUCAUUUUGAUGCUAAUCUAAAGCAAAGUCAUAUUGUGAUUUUUCCAGAUGAGUACCUUAAAACAUGAAGUUUUGAGAGCCUGAAUUCACACCAAGUUUAGGAUUUUGUUUUUAUCAGUUGAAAGCCAAUGAACAUUGUGACAAAACGUGUAAGGUUUCACGAUCAUUUUGAGAAAAGAGGUGGGAGAGUUGAGUCAUCACAUGUCACACAGUAGCCCAUGGCAAACUCAGUGCUGUAACUGUUGGUGCCACGUUCCUACUAAAAAUAGAAAUUGCACAUAACACACAUGCACUUACAUAUAUUUGCAACAACUUAGUCACUGUAAGUAAAGUAGUAAAUACACAAUGAGGAAUUUUUUUUUAUUUCCCAGGAAGGCUUAAAUUAGAUACCAUAUAAUUCAGAUUUAAAAUAGUCGAAAAAAUACUAACCUUAUCUUAAAGUGAGUAGACUCUAAUCGAGUGAUAUUCAAAUAAAACUGGCUUUCCAGGGUUUUGUAGUGCCAGAAUUUUUGUUAAAAUUUGAGAUCUGAUUAUUUCAAACUAGCAACAGAAGACCAGGAAGUUAAUAAUGCAGUGUAUUUGUGCAAACAGCUGUUUUUGCAUUGACAUUAUUAAAUGUACAGAGGGCCUGGGAGCAGUGACUCAUGCCUGUAAUCUCAGCACUUUGGGAAGCUUAGACUGGAGGAUUACCUAAGGCCAGGAGUUCAAGAACAACUUGGUCAACCCCAUCUCUACAAGUAAUAAAUUUAAAAUUUUUAAAAGUUAGCCAGCUGUACUGGUGUGUGCCUGUAGUCCUAGCUACUCAGGAGGUUGAGACAGGAGGACUGAUGGAGCCCAGGAGUUUGAGGCUGCAGUGAGCUAUGAUAGUACCACUGCACUCCAGCCUGGGUGACAG